CUCGUAGGCGGUUCGUCACGUCCGGUGUGAAAGUCCAUCGCUUAACGGUGGAUCCGCGCCGGGUACGGGCGGGCUUGAGUGCGGUAGGGGAGACUGGAAUUCCCGGUGUAACGGUGGAAUGUGUAGAUAUCGGGAAGAACACCAACGGCGAAGGCAGGUCUCUGGGCCGUCACUGACGCUGAGGAGCGAAAGCGUGGGGAGCGAACA
This 207-nucleotide ribosomal RNA is filed under the name uncultured bacterium. RNAcentral's name for it is "partial 16S ribosomal RNA". It matches the Rfam family "Bacterial small subunit ribosomal RNA", at positions 568 to 774 of the family's 1533-position model. The record is from RNAcentral.